This is a long non-coding RNA of Esox lucius (northern pike), 1306 nucleotides long. NCBI's taxonomy places the organism in Eukaryota, Metazoa, Chordata, Actinopteri, Esociformes, Esocidae. The record is from Ensembl.
GUACUUUGUUAAGAGACAAUACCUGGACUGAUGAUCUAACAGCAUUGACAUAAUUAUAUCUGAAAAGGGGUUGAUAGAAUAAAUGUAUACAUAAUACCUCACAUGCUCACUGUAAAACUAAAGUCUGUUUAGAGCCCUGCUGAUUGUGAUGUGCACCUUUAAGAGGGCAUGGGACAGUUGGAGUGGAUAAAAACAAAGUUUGAGAGAAGUGUCAUGUGAGAUAUGUUGACUGGACAGAAAUGUACUUAAAUUUACCUAUUCUAGCUAUAGGUGCAAAUAAUUGUUAUGGCAUAUUAAAAAACCUGGUACAAAAUAUUGUUUCACAAAUUACAAAUGGGUUACUUUAAUUAAAUAGCAUUUCAGGUUGUAUUUAUGUAAGAUCAUUAUCUAACUGGUUCCAAAUGUAAUUUACCUUGUCAGUACGCCAUGACAAUGUAAUAUUGUUUGCUGGGAAAUGACUACAUGAGCAAAAUAUCUAGUAGGGUUGACUAUAUGUGGAUUGUGCUAGUUGACCAAAUGGAUUUUGCCAGUGCAAAAAUAAGCAUUGCAUAACAAAAUACUGCAAACAUGCCAAUGGUCAGCAAAUGACGAAUAGGCAACCUUAAUUACAUAACGUUGUCAUGACGUACAGGUCGGGACAAUUACGUUGUAGCAACCAAAAUAGGAACUACACUUUUCCGGUUGCUGCAACGUCAGACUGUAACCGGUACGAAAACGGACUGUCUCGCUACGUCGUGACAACGUAAUAUUUUUCCGGGUUAAUUAGUUCAGAUAGCUUGGUCAGUUAUACUGGAUGUUUUCUGGUGUUUGACAUACUAGUACUAUAACUACUUUACACUGACAGGGGGCGAGUUCGCGCUGUUGACGGGAUUCCGGACAUUUUUGAGGCAUGCAAGGGUGAGGCUCGCUGAUUCCAUUAGCCGGUAUUAAAUACAAAAAUCGUGAAUCCUCAUCAUCCACUGCACCAACACAUUGAAAAUAGUGGGUUCUGAAUUGGGUGACAGGAUCUGAAGAUCGCACCGGUGGGACCUUACUGUUGAAUUUUCCACUGCCCAAAUCAGUGUAGGGAGUCAUUCAGAUAACGAUAUCAAGUGCAUAUUUUAGAGGGCAAAAUAUCAAAGUGACUACCUUAUAUGAAAGAUGUAUGCGUAUUUUGUCGACUACAAUUUUUACGUCAUAACAACACUUCCGGUCACGUCUCUAGGGUCAACAAAACCGAACAAUAACUGUGCGCUAGCCCUGUAGAACAACGGUGUAAAUAGAUGGAUAUUUCAGAAAGAUAACAUUGUCGGCUUCUUUUGGCCAU